Non-coding RNA from Punica granatum (pomegranate), 475 nucleotides. NCBI's taxonomy places the organism in Eukaryota, Viridiplantae, Streptophyta, Magnoliopsida, Myrtales, Lythraceae. The record is from RefSeq and is a predicted model, not a curated record.
UCCAACCUCCGUCAAGACAUAUCAAUUGGUGCUUUCAUUGAGAGUCAAAGCUACUGAGCUCUCAGGAUUAUCGUGGCUGCCGUCUUCGAAAUCGAAGGAGGAGUAACACAUGGACAAGGAGAGAGGUGAACAACAGCUAAGGCUCUUCAAUCGUGCUGGCGAUCAAGGGAAAGUCGUAGCUGAAGAUCUGUUGCGGGCAAGUUGGGAAAAUAACGACCAUAUUGGACUUGAUGAUCGUCCUGCUUGGAUGUUCUUACCUCGACUCUGAAUCUUAGUACGUCGGCAAGGAAACGGGUAUGAGCUUGGCCUAGGCUAGCGAAAGAUUAUAUAUUGAUAAGAUUAUCUAUUAUUACUCGGGUAGUUGUGUAACAUUCUUCUUCCGAAAAUAAGAUACUAAAUGUAAUAUAAUAAUUCAGACCAUCAUAUUAAGGAUAAUCUGUACUUAUAUUUAUCUAAGGAAAAUUACGUUUUAUAA